Molecule: long non-coding RNA, 3673 nt
Filed under: Triticum aestivum (bread wheat)
Lineage: Eukaryota; Viridiplantae; Streptophyta; Magnoliopsida; Poales; Poaceae
Source: RNAcentral
GGAAAUAAAUAAGAUAUAGGAUUCCACUAUGUAUGGUCUAUGAAUUACAUCAUAAAAGGCAAUGUGAUAAAGCAUCAAUAUAAUAAAAAUAAUAGAGAAUUAAAAAUUUUAACUUGAAACAAGAACUACAAAUUUAAAGCAAUAAUAAAGAGCCGCCCGGGUUAAUAAAACUGAGAAAAUUAACUCGGAAAGAAAUUUUUUGGAAGCUCCGUUGCGGGAUUCAGACCUAACCAUUCAAGGAGAAGCAGUGGGAACGACAGAACCUAUGAUUCCAUAGGAUUUUAUUGAAAAGAAUCCUAACACUUCAUUGGGUGGGAUGGCGGAACAAACCAAAAAAAUUGUCUUAUUUGGUAAGUUUAUAAAUUAACAAAUAAGACAGGAAAGAGUAAAUAUUCGCCCGCGAAAUUCUUAUUGAAUUAGAAUACUUUACCGCGAUUCAAUAAGAGUAAAAAUAAGGAUUUUUUUAAGAAGGAUUACAUUAUCUAUAAAUAUAGAAUUUAGAUAAAUAUACACACACAUCUGGAUAUAUUCUAGAUCUUCUUUUUUGACUAUAUAUUAUAUUUUUCUGUUUUAACAAAUUCAAUAUAAAAAAACCGAACUUUUUCUAUUAUCUAUUAAUGUGUAUCUAUCCGUACCGUAAUAUUUUUGAAUAUUAUGAAUUAGAGAAAUUUACAUGCUUUCUCAUUCCAUUCGCGAGGAGCUGGAUGAGAAGAAACUCUCAUGUCCAGUUUUGCAGUAGAGAUGGAACUAAGAAAGAGAACCAUCGACUAUAACCCCAAAAGAACCAGAUUUCGCAAACCACAUAGAGGAAGAAUGAAAGGAAAAUCUUGCCGAGGCAAUCGUAUUUGUUUUGGUAGAUAUGCUCUUCAAGCACUUGAACCCCCUUGGAUCACGGCGAGACAGAUAGAAGCAGGACGAAGAGCAAUAACACGAUAUGCACGUCGUGGUGGAAAAAUAUGGGUACGUAUAUUUCCCGACAAACCGGUUACACUAAGACCCACGGAAACACGUAUGGGCUCGGGAAAGGGGUCCCCCGAAUAUUGGGUAUCCGUUGUUAAACCUGGUCGUAUACUUUAUGAAAUGGGGGGAGUAUCUGAAACUGUAGCUAGAGCAGCUAUCUCCAUAGCUGCCAGUAAAAUGCCCAUACGAAGUCAAUUUAUUCGAUUAGAGAUAUAGAACCCUAAAAGGGGUAUGGAAGAUAAAAAAAAAUGCCCGGUUUUUCUUUCUGGAAAGACAAUAUUUCUUUCAUCCUUUUGCAUUGAAAUAACAAAUUGAAAUCAAAAUAAAAAAUAAUAUGAUUCAACCUCAGACCCUUUUAAAUGUAGCAGAUAAUAGUGGAGCUCGAAAAUUGAUGUGUAUUCGAGUCAUAGGAGCUNNNNNNNNNNAAAGGGCUCGAAUAGAAAAAUAGAAUCAGACUCAAGUUCCGAAGUAAUUACACAUAAUAGAAAAAUGGACUCAGGUUCAAGUUCCGAAGUAAUUACACAUAUAGAAAUCCAAAAAGAAAUCGAUACGAUCCACGUCAUAAUCCAUAUUGGAUUCCCAAAUUUAUUAAAGAAAAAAGGAGCAAUCGAAGAAUUAGAGAAAGAUCUACAAAAGGAAAUUAACUCUGUAAACCAGAGAUUUAAUAUUUCUAUCGAAAAAGUGAAAGAACCUUAUAGACAGCCUAACAUUCUUGCAGAAUAUAUAGCUUUCCAAUUAAAAAAUAGAGUUUCAUUCCGAAAGGCAAUGAAAAAAGCCAUUGAAUUAACUAAAAAAGCAGAUAUAAGGGGAGUAAAAGUAAAAAUUGCGGGUCGUCUCGGAGGAAAAGAAAUUGCACGCGCCGAAUCUAUUAAAAAGGGUAGACUUCCCCUCCAAACAAUUCACGCUAAAAUUGAUUAUUGCUGCUAUCCAAUUCGGACUAUCUAUGGAGUAUUAGGUGUAAAAAUUUGGAUAUUCGUAGACGAAGAAUAAGUAAUCUUGUCUUUGGAUUCUGUCCAUUGAUAGAAUAAAAAAUGACAAGAGACUUUUUUCCUGAAAUCCCUGCAAAAGAAGAAAUUAUACCUCUUUCUAUAAGAUUUAAUGAAAAUUGAUAAAUCAUUUAAUAUAAUUGCUAUGCUUAGUGUGUGACUCGUUAUUUUUUUCUUUUUUUUAAGAAAAAAACUUAGUAAUUAUAGAAAAUUAACUAAUAACCAACCUAUUGCUUCGUAUUGUCGAGAUCCUAACUAAGAAACAGUCACUAUAUGAAUAAAUACCUCUAUCAUAAAUGAGUAGAUGUGUCAUAUAGUUGUAGCAACUGCAAUUUUUUCUCUAAAAAAGAAAAGGGAUUCUAGGUUGUGAAGCAAAACUAAAGGGAUGUGGAUAAAGGGAGGGAUGAUAGAAAGAAGGAAGAUGAAAUAAAUAAGAUAUAGGAUUCCACUAUGUAUGGUCUAUGAAUUACAUCAUAAAAGGCAAUGUGAUAAAGCAUCAAUAUAAUAAAAAUAAUAGAGAAUUAAAAAUUGUAACUUGAAACAAGAACUACAAAUUUAAAGCAAUAAUAAAGAGCCGCCCGGGUUAAUAAAACUGAGAAAAUUAACUCGGAAAGAAAUUUUUUGGAAGCUCCGUUGCGGGAUUCAGACCUAACCAUUCAAGGAGAAGCAGUGGGAACGACAGAACCUAUGAUUCCAUAGGAUUUUAUUGAAAAGAAUCCUAACACUUCAUUGGGUGGGAUGGCGGAACAAACCAAAAAAAUUGUCUUAUUUGGUAAGUUUAUAAAUUAACAAAUAAGACAGGAAAGAGUAAAUAUUCGCCCGCGAAAUUCUUAUUGAAUUAGAAUACUUUACCGCGAUUCAAUAAGAGUCAAAAUAAGGAUUUUUUUAAGAAGGAUUACAUUAUCUAUAAAUAUAGAAUUUAGAUAAAUAUACACACACAUCUGGAUAUAUUCUAGAUCUUCUUUUUUAACUAUAUAUUAUAUUUUUCUGUUUUAACAAAUUCAAUAUAAAAAAAACCGAACUUUUUCUAUUAUCUAUUAAUGUGUAUCUAUCCGUACCGUAAUAUUUUGGAAUAUUAUGAAUUAGAUAAAUUUACAUGCUUUCUCAUUCCAUUCGCGAGGAGCUGGAUGAGAAGAAACUCUCAUGUCCAGUUUUGCAGUAGAGAUGGAACUAAGAAAGAGAACCAUCGACUAUAACCCCAAAAGAACCAGAUUUCGCAAACAACAUAGAGGAAGAAUGAAAGGAAAAUCCUGCCGAGGCAAUCGUAUUUGUUUUGGUAGAUAUGCUCUUCAAGCACUUGAACCCGCUUGGAUCACGGCGAGACAGAUAGAAGCAGGACGAAGAGCAAUAACACGAUAUGCACGUCGUGGUGGAAAAAUAUGGGUACGUAUAUUUCCCGACAAACCGGUUACACUAAGACCCACGGAAACACGUAUGGGCUCGGGAAAGGGGUCCCCCGAAUAUUGGGUAUCCGUUGUUAAACCUGGUCGUAUACUUUAUGAAAUGGGGGGAGUAUCUGAAACUGUAGCUAGAGCAGCUAUCUCCAUAGCUGCCAGUAAAAUGCCCAUACGAAGUCAAUUUAUUCGAUUAGAGAUAUAGAACCCUAAAAGGGGUAUGGAAGAUAAAAAAAAAUGCCCGGUUUUUCUUUCUGGAAAGACAAUAUUUCUUUCAUCCUUUUGCAUUGAAAUAACAAAUUGAAAUCAAAAUAAAAAAUAAUAUGAUUCAAC